CACGUAGUUAGCCGGUGCUUCUUUACCCAUUACCGUCACUCACGCUUCGUCACAGGCGAAAGCGGUUUACAACCCGAAGGCCGUCAUCCCGCACGCGACGUUGCUGCAUCAGGCUUCCGCCCAUUGUGCAAUAUUCCCCACUGCUGCCUCCCGUAGGAGUCUGGGCCGUAUCUCAGUCCCAAUGUGGCCGGUCACCCUCUCAGGCCGGCUACCCGUCAAAGCCUUGGUAAGCCACUACCCCACCAACAAGCUGAUAAGCCGCGAGUCCAUCCCCAACCGCCGAAACUUUCCAACCCCCACCAUGCAGCAGGAGCUCCUAUCCGGUAUUAGCCCCAGUUUCCUGAAGUUAUCCCAAAGUCAAGGGCAGGUUACUCACGUGUUACUCACCCGUUCGCCACUCGAGCACCCCACAAAAGCAGGGCCUUUCGUCGACUUGCAUGUGUUAAGCACGCCGCCAGCGUUCGUCCUGAGCCAGGAUCAAACUCU
Molecule: ribosomal RNA, 486 nt
Filed under: uncultured Propionibacterium sp.
Lineage: Bacteria; Bacillati; Actinomycetota; Actinomycetes; Propionibacteriales; Propionibacteriaceae
Description: partial 16S ribosomal RNA
Source: RNAcentral